AGCCUUCCUGCUCAUUCCUCCUUUUCUAAGGCGGAUCGACUGAGGAGGAUGAUGGGUGAUGAAGAGCCAGAGGUAGCACCGAGUCGCAGUCACGUGUCGGCCGACGACCUCCAUGACGGCUUCAUCCUGGACAAGGAUGACAAGAAAACUUUAGCCUAUCAGGAUGGCAAAUGGAACCUUGACGAGGAGCCAGUUGAAAAUGGAGCAAAAGGUGAAGAGGAAGAAGAAGA
Hippocampus comes (tiger tail seahorse) is the source of this 230-nucleotide long non-coding RNA. RefSeq lists it as uncharacterized. The record is from RefSeq and is a predicted model, not a curated record. NCBI's taxonomy places the organism in Eukaryota, Metazoa, Chordata, Actinopteri, Syngnathiformes, Syngnathidae. The transcript has 2 exons.